Molecule: long non-coding RNA, 1270 nt
Filed under: Equus asinus (donkey)
Lineage: Eukaryota; Metazoa; Chordata; Mammalia; Perissodactyla; Equidae
Description: lncRNA (ENSEASG00005026698.1)
Source: RNAcentral
AGCAUCAACCAGCUCCUGGGGUCCCAGUCCAAGGCCGGCCCAUGGCCCUCCGCUCCAAGCCUGGAGCACCACCCGCCCAAGGUGAUGACGGCAAGGACCCGGGGUCGGUGGCCUCCCUACCUCUGCAGCCCCAGGCCCACAAGGGUCUCCCUCUGCACAAAGCUCUGCCAACCGAAACAAAGCGUCCAGGGUGCCCCCCUACCCCCCAGAUUAGGGACCCGGAAUUUGGGAAACAGCAUUCCCAAGGCGCUCCUUACCCACGGGGAGGGAAAGAUCUCGGUCCAGAACCGUCGCAGUGGUUUCUGCAAGGUCCCCCACCUUCAGGCAGGACGCUGCGCCCCCAUUUCCAGGACUGGUCCUUGGACACCGGGAGGCACCAAGGAGGGCCUGGCCAGGAGCCAGGACCUAGACAGCGCUGGGGGGCCCUCCCCACACCCCCAACCCCGGAGUGGCAGAGGCGGCGGAAGCACAGAGCACAGGGUCCACAUCUGGGCGCACAGCCUUCCAGCAUUGAGCGCGCGCUUGGGCGCCGAGCCAGUGUCCCUGCCUACCCUGGGGGAUGACACGCCUGCCUUUCAGGUCCUUGUAGGAUUCCAGAACACCCGCGCCCGGGGCGCUCAGCUGAAUCGCUUCCAGCAGCUUGCCAGGGUCACCGCUCCAAACGCCGACAUUACCCUCCUGUCCAGCAGCGGCCUCCCCAGCGGUCCAGGUGCAGGAGGCUCAGCCCCUGCCCAGGACUUUCCCGGUCCGGGGAGGGCGGCGGCGGCGGGGCGGGGCUGCGUAGAGGCCCGAAGGCCGACAGGACAGCAGGAGCACGGCCGGCGCUGCCGACACAGCCACAACCGGGCCACACGGUUAAGAGCGCACGGUGCGGGAGCAGGCUCCCGUUGCUAGAACCGUCUAGUUUUCAAGAGCAAGUGGAGCACACUCCAGAUUCCUCUAGGUCAAUCGUGAUAGGGCCCAGCAGCUGGAAUUAGAGCUCAUGCCGCACCACUGUCAGUUUUCUCCAGAAAGCGAACUCUUUUCUCCCAGAAGGGCUCUCGAGUGCACACCUAGCCUCUCAGUGUACACGCCCCACUUAACCAAGAUACAACGUUUAAAGUACUUUUUGCUGUUUAAACUGUAAUGCCACGCUUUUGGGUUUUUUUUUUGGUGAGGAAGAUUGUCCCUGAGCUAACAUCUGUGACCAUCUUCCUCUAUUUUGUAUCUGGGACACCCCCACCGCAUGGCUUGAUGAGCUGUGCAUAGGUCUGCGCCCAGAAUAGGAGCC